CAUGGCGCAGGCGUGGCGGCGG
This 22-nucleotide unclassified non-coding RNA is filed under the name Chlamydomonas reinhardtii. RNAcentral's name for it is "small RNA Cre_0988". The record is from RNAcentral. Lineage: Eukaryota; Viridiplantae; Chlorophyta; Chlorophyceae; Chlamydomonadales; Chlamydomonadaceae.